This 1885-nucleotide ribosomal RNA is filed under the name Ensifer adhaerens. RNAcentral describes it as "bacterial LSU rRNA". It matches the Rfam family "Bacterial large subunit ribosomal RNA", at positions 209 to 2259 of the family's 2925-position model. Lineage: Bacteria; Pseudomonadati; Pseudomonadota; Alphaproteobacteria; Hyphomicrobiales; Rhizobiaceae. The record is from RNAcentral.
CCUGCAGGAAAGGACAUCAACCGAGACUCCGCAAGUAGUGGCGAGCGAACGCGGACCAGGCCAGUGGCAAUGAGGAAUAAAGUGGAACGAUCUGGAAAGGUCGGCCGUAGAGGGUGAUAGCCCCUUACACGUAGAACACUCAUUGUCCUUGAGUAAGGCGGGACACGUGAAAUCCUGUCUGAACAUGGGGAGACCACUCUCCAAGCCUAAGUACUCGUGCAUGACCGAUAGCGAACAAGUACCGUGAGGGAAAGGUGAAAAGCACCCCGACAAGGGGAGUGAAAUAGAACCUGAAACCGGAUGCCUACAAACAGUUGGAGCCCGCAAGGGUGACAGCGUACCUUUUGUAUAAUGGGUCAACGACUUAGUGUGACGAGCAAGCUUAAGCCGAUAGGUGAAGGCGCAGCGAAAGCGAGUCUGAACAGGGCGUUCAGUUCGUCGCAUUAGACCCGAAACCGAGUGAUCUAGCCAUGAGCAGGUUGAAGGUUGGGUAACACCAACUGGAGGACCGAACCCGCAUCUGUUGCAAUAGAUUGGGAUGACUUGUGGCUAGGGGUGAAAGGCCAAUCAAACUCGGAAAUAGCUGGUUCUCCGCGAAAUCUAUUUAGGUAGAGCGUCGACCGAAUACCCUCGGGGGUAGAGCACUGGAUGGGCUAUGGGGACUCACCGUCUUACUGAUCCUAACCAAACUCCGAAUACCGAGGAGUACUAGUCGGCAGACACACGGCGGGUGCUAACGUCCGUCGUGAAAAGGGCAACAACCCUGACCUCCAGCUAAGGUCCCCAAGUCAUGGCUAAGUGGGAAAGGAUGUGAGGAUCCCAAAACAACCAGGAUGUUGGCUUAGAAGCAGCCAUCAUUUAAAGAAAGCGUAACAGCUCACUGGUCUAAAUAAGGGUCUUUGCGCCGAAAAUGUAACGGGGCUAAAGCCAUGCACCGAAGCUGAGGAUGUGCCUUAUGGCACGUGGUAGCGGAGCGUUCCGUAAGCCUGCGAAGGGAUACCCGUGAGGGGUCCUGGAGGUAUCGGAAGUGCGAAUGUUGACAUGAGUAACGAUAAAGAGGGUGAGAGACCCUCUCGCCGAAAGACCAAGGGUUCCUGCUUAAAGUUAAUCUGAGCAGGGUUAGCCGGCCCCUAAGACGAGGCGGACACGCGUAGUCGAUGGGAACCACGUUAAUAUUCGUGGGCCUGGUGGUAGUGACGGAUCGCUUAACUUGUCUGGACUUAUUGGAUUGUCCAGGCGGGGACGCGGUUCCAGGAAAUAGCUCCACCAUUAUAGACCGUACCCGAAACCGACACAGGUGGUCAGGUAGAGUAUACCAAGGCGCUUGAGAGAACUAUGCUGAAGGAACUCGGCAAAUUGCACGCGUAACUUCGGAAGAAGCGUGACCCCAAUGGACGCAAGUCUUUUGGGGUGGCACAGACCAGGGGGUAGCGACUGUUUAUCAAAAACACAGGGCUCUGCGAAGUCGCAAGACGACGUAUAGGGUCUGACGCCUGCCCGGUGCUGGAAGGUUAAGAGGAGGGGUGCAAGCUCUGAAUCGAAGCCCCAGUAAACGGCGGCCGUAACUAUAACGGUCCUAAGGUAGCGAAAUUCCUUGUCGGGUAAGUUCCGACCUGCACGAAUGGCGUAACGACUUCCCCGCUGUCUCCAGCAUAGACUCAGUGAAAUUGAAUUCCCCGUGAAGAUGCGGGGUUCCUGCGGUCAGACGGAAAGACCCCGUGCACCUUUACUAUAGCUUUACACUGGCAUUCGUGUCGGCAUGUGUAGGAUAGGUGGUAGGCUUUGAAGCAGGGACGCCAGUUCUUGUGGAGCCAUCCUUGAAAUACCACCCUUAUCGUCAUGGAUGUCUAACCGCGGUCCGUCAUCCGGAUCCGGGACAGUGUAU